GACGAACGCUGGCGGCGUGCUUAACACAUGCAAGUCGAGCGGAAAGGCCCUUUCGGGGGUACUCGAGCGGCGAACGGGUGAGUAACACGUGAGUAAUCUGCCCCUGGCUUUGGGAUAGCCACCGGAAACGGUGAUUAAUACCGGAUACGACCACUUCUCGCAUGGGAUGGUGGUGGAAAGUUUUUCGGCCAGGGAUGUGCUCGCGGCCUAUCAGCUUGAUGGUGAGGUAAUGGCUCACCAUGGCUUCGACGGGUAGCCGGCCUGAGAGGGUGAACGGUCACACUGGGACUGAGACACGGCCCAGACUCCUACGGGAGGCAGCAGUGGGGAACAUUGGACAAUGGGCGGAAGCCUGAUCCAGCAACGCCGCGUGAGGGAUGACGGCCUUCGGGUUGUAAACCUCUUUCAGCAGGGACGAAGCGCAAGUGACGGUACCUGCAGAAGAAGCACCGGCCAACUACGUGCCAGCCGCCGCGGUAA
RNAcentral lists this ribosomal RNA (480 nucleotides) under uncultured bacterium. RNAcentral's name for it is "partial 16S ribosomal RNA". It matches the Rfam family "Bacterial small subunit ribosomal RNA", at positions 28 to 523 of the family's 1533-position model. The record is from RNAcentral.